CAUAAUGGGGAACUUAUCAGGCUGUUAAUGUGUAUUACAUGUCAUCAGCCUCUAGCAUAGAACUCUGUAUGUGAAUCUAGCUUCUCGUACUUUUGGUGGCAAGUGUAGCAGAAAAAUGUCAAUGUGUUUGUAAAGUGUUUCUCAUUGCCUUUGCUGUAAAUCUAGUGUUUCUUUUCUUUUAUAACUGUUUGAAAUGUUUGGGCUUCAUUUCGGGAAAUAAUGUCCGCACCUCAUUUUUCUCCUUCUGCACACUUUAUUUACUUGUGGCCCUUGGAUUCUUAUUUGAUUCGUUCAAUUCAAAGGUUAGGAAUGAACAAGGGUGUGCAAAAGGAAAAAAAAAAUAGUGUGCUAAAAAUAUCAAUUCCCCUUCUUUUAUCAACAUAAAUUCAAUGGGGUAUUCAAAAAUGAGUUCAAUGGGGUGAGAAACAAUUUCUAGCCAACUGACUAUGCAGUUAAUCUUCCAUUUAGUUCUUAAUAAAACUUAAUUACCAACUUGAUUUCCUUCAUCACCAACUAUUAGACUCCCCAACUCAUGCACUCUCUUGAUUAAGCUCCAACGACGUGUUUACUUAUCAAGAAUGGAUGCAAAGAGAUUGGUAUCUUCUCAUUCUUGGUAUAUCUAACGCACAAGGAAUGAAAGAAUGAGUUCACUGUUGAAAUUAGCUACGACCACCCAAUUUCAAUCACAUGUCAUUAUCAGGGGGGGGCUCGUGCCAUACUUGAACAACUUGGUAUCAUACUCAUGCCCAAGCUGGGAGUACGAACUACUUCAACUUCACCAAAAUUUCUCAAGGUCAACUAUUCUUAUAUCUAUAUGUAUAAUGGGAGAAGGCAAAAAAGGGAAGCUUUUAUAAUACCCAAAUUGCCUUCUCCCAUUGGUAAUUUGAAUAAAUAAAUAAAUAAAGAUCCACAAAAAAACCCAAGGUAAUGAUACUCGGGGUGAUUAGUAAGUUCAUUACUUUUCAAAAUAAAUAACAAAAUUAAAAAUAAACAGCCAAUUGCCAUACGCGUACGCAUGUGGCAAUAAACUAGUAUUUAAUAAUAUUUGCAUAAAAGAACCAAAAACCUCAAAUCUAAAGCAAAAAUGUUUUUCUUACCAUUAUUUGUAUCAUCUCUCUUAUAAAAAUAGGACUCAUGUGCCUUGACAAGCCUAAUCUCUAUUAGUAAGAUGGUUGAACUAGAUAAUAAGGAUAGCACUACUAAAAAAAAGUAAACCCGUCAUUUUGUACCUGAAAAAGAAACCCAAAACAUUUCUGUAGAGAAAGAGAGAGGACUCAGAAACAUUCAGUGGUUAUCGGCAAGGCAACUUUGCCAUUACGCACGACGAGCGAACCAAAUUGUUAUCCUCAUCGUCCUCCUCCUAUGAAACCAGAAGAGAGAGAGAGAGAGAGAGAGAGAGAGAGAGAGAGAGAGAGAGAGAGAGAGAGAGAGAGAGAGAGAGAGAGAGAGAGCUGAGAGUUUGUGCUGCACGCUGAGCAGCUGAGCUUUGGGGUUUAUAUAUAAACAUAAUGUGAGUGCGAGUCUUAUGUAUUUAAAAGAAUUGGAGUUUGGUGGGGGAUGUCAAGUUUGAACUUUACUUUGCCUUGGCCUCCAAGCCUUUGAAUUCAAACAUUUAUGAAUUAUUAUAUUACAUUUUUGUAAUAAUAUUUGUGAAUAAUAAUCAAAUUCAACUUGCAGUCUGAGUUUGUAUUCAGAUGGUUUUCAAACUUAUAAUAUAUAGGGUUAUUAUACAAAAUAGUCCUUGAGAUUUGCAUGAUCAAUAGAAAUGGUCCUUGAGAUUGUCUACCAUCCAUGAUUUUGGUCAUUCCGUUAAAAACUCUUUACAAUCUAAAAACAUAAUCUUCCUUGCAUUUUCCUAUCCCAAUACCAUUGAUUUUUAAUUUCAAAUUAUUAAUUUGAGCUACUGCCAAUAAUGUCAAUGUGUUUGUAAAAGUGUUUCUCAUUACCUUUGCUGUAAAUCUUGUGUUUCUUUUGUUAUACAACUAUUUGAAAUGUUUGGGC
Molecule: long non-coding RNA, 2001 nt
Filed under: Malus domestica (apple)
Lineage: Eukaryota; Viridiplantae; Streptophyta; Magnoliopsida; Rosales; Rosaceae
Description: long non-coding RNA (MDOM_LNC014461)
Source: RNAcentral